Molecule: transfer RNA, 75 nt
Filed under: Sphingomonas sp.
Lineage: Bacteria; Pseudomonadati; Pseudomonadota; Alphaproteobacteria; Sphingomonadales; Sphingomonadaceae
Also listed under: 8 other names
Description: tRNA-Thr
Rfam family: tRNA
About the family: Transfer RNA (tRNA) molecules are approximately 80 nucleotides in length. Their secondary structure includes four short double-helical elements and three loops (D, anti-codon, and T loops). Further hydrogen bonds mediate the characteristic L-shaped molecular structure. tRNAs have two regions of fundamental functional importance: the anti-codon, which is responsible for specific mRNA codon recognition, and the 3' end, to which the tRNAs corresponding amino acid is attached (by aminoacyl-tRNA synthetases). tRNAs cope with the degeneracy of the genetic code in two manners: having more than one tRNA (with a specific anti-codon) for a particular amino acid; and 'wobble' base-pairing, i.e. permitting non-standard base-pairing at the 3rd anti-codon position.
Source: RNAcentral
GCUGCCGUAGCUCAGUGGUAGAGCGCAUCCUUGGUAAGGCUGAGGUCAAGGGUUCGAUCCCCUUCGGCAGCACCA